Molecule: ribosomal RNA, 1352 nt
Filed under: uncultured bacterium
Lineage: Bacteria
Description: bacterial SSU rRNA
Rfam family: Bacterial small subunit ribosomal RNA
Source: RNAcentral
AUUGAACGCUGGCGGCAUGCCUUACACAUGCAAGUCGAACGGCAGCACGGAGCUUGCUCUGGUGGCGAGUGGCGAACGGGUGAGUAAUAUAUCGGAACGUACCCUAGAGUGGGGGAUAACGUAGCGAAAGUUACGCUAAUACCGCAUACGAUCUAAGGAUGAAAGUGGGGGAUCGCAAGACCUCAUGCUCGUGGAGCGGCCGAUAUCUGAUUAGCUAGUUGGUAGGGUAAAAGCCUACCAAGGCAUCGAUCAGUAGCUGGUCUGAGAGGACGACCAGCCACACUGGAACUGAGACACGGUCCAGACUCCUACGGGAGGCAGCAGUGGGGAAUUUUGGACAAUGGGCGAAAGCCUGAUCCAGCAAUGCCGCGUGAGUGAAGAAGGCCUUCGGGUUGUAAAGCUCUUUUGUCAGGGAAGAAACGGUGAGAGCUAAUAUCUCUUGCUAAUGACGGUACCUGAAGAAUAAGCACCGGCUAACUACGUGCCAGCAGCCGCGGUAAUACGUAGGGUGCAAGCGUUAAUCGGAAUUACUGGGCGUAAAGCGUGCGCAGGCGGUUUUGUAAGUCUGAUGUGAAAUCCCCGGGCUCAACCUGGGAAUUGCAUUGGAGACUGCAAGGCUAGAAUCUGGCAGAGGGGGGUAGAAUUCCACGUGUAGCAGUGAAAUGCGUAGAUAUGUGGAGGAACACCGAUGGCGAAGGCAGCCCCCUGGGUCAAGAUUGACGCUCAUGCACGAAAGCGUGGGGAGCAAACAGGAUUAGAUACCCUGGUAGUCCACGCCCUAAACGAUGUCUACUAGUUGUCGGGUCUUAAUUGACUUGGUAACGCAGCUAACGCGUGAAGUAGACCGCCUGGGGAGUACGGUCGCAAGAUUAAAACUCAAAGGAAUUGACGGGGACCCGCACAAGCGGUGGAUGAUGUGGAUUAAUUCGAUGCAACGCGAAAAACCUUACCUACCCUUGACAUGGCUGGAAUCCUUGAGAGAUCAGGGAGUGCUCGAAAGAGAACCAGUACACAGGUGCUGCAUGGCUGUCGUCAGCUCGUGUCGUGAGAUGUUGGGUUAAGUCCCGCAACGAGCGCAACCCUUGUCAUUAGUUGCUACGAAAGGGCACUCUAAUGAGACUGCCGGUGACAAACCGGAGGAAGGUGGGGAUGACGUCAAGUCCUCAUGGCCCUUAUGGGUAGGGCUUCACACGUCAUACAAUGGUACAUACAGAGCGCCGCCAACCCGCGAGGGGGAGCUAAUCGCAGAAAGUGUAUCGUAGUCCGGAUUGUAGUCUGCAACUCGACUGCAUGAAGUUGGAAUCGCUAGUAAUCACGGAUCAGCAUGUCGCGGUGAAUACGUUCCCGGGUCU